AUGAAUAUCUUAAGUUGGAACUGCAGGGGAGGGGGGAAUCCCCGGACAGUUCGUGAGCUAGCGACUAUUUGCCAGUCGCAUUCCCCCAAGUUGGUUUUUCUUUCUGAAACUAGGCAAAAGGCGGAAAAGAUGAGGAGGGUCCGUGGUCGUCUCGGCUUGAAGGGUUUUUGUGGUGUGGAUAGUGCGGGCAUGAGUGGUGGGUUGGCUCUGUAUUGGCAUGAGUCGUAUGUGGUGGAGAUCCUUGACAAAACCGAUCGUUAUAUUGAUGCUCAGGUGCAGGUAGAUCAAAACGCAGAAAAAUGGAGAAUCACUUGUGUAUAUGGAGAGCCGAGGGUUGAAAAUAGACAUAUUAUGUGGGAAAAGCUGCAGAACCUGAAAACCACGAGUGACUUACCAUGGUUAGUAGUGGGAGAUUUUAAUGAGGCAAUGUGGGACUUGUUGGGGAAUGUUGCAGAAAAUUAA
RNAcentral lists this ribosomal RNA (462 nucleotides) under Triticum aestivum (bread wheat). RNAcentral's name for it is "partial small subunit ribosomal RNA". The record is from RNAcentral. Lineage: Eukaryota; Viridiplantae; Streptophyta; Magnoliopsida; Poales; Poaceae.